GACGUGACUUCAGAGUUUGAUCCUGGCUCAGGACGAACGCUGGCGGCGUGCCUAACACAUGCAAGUCGAGCGGGGAGGAGGAAGCUUGCUUCCGAAUCCUAGCGGCGGACGGGUGAGUAACGCGUGAGCAAUCUGCCUCAAACAGGGGGAUAACGCAUCGAAAGAUGUGCUAAUACCGCGUAAGACCACAGUACCGCAUGGUACAGGGGUCAAAGGAGCAAUCCGGUUUGAGAUGAGCUCGCGUCCGAUUAGCUAGUUGGUGAGAUAACGGCCCACCAAGGCGACGAUCGGUAGCCGACCUGAGAGGGUGAUCGGCCACAUUGGAACUGAGAAACGGUCCAG
Molecule: ribosomal RNA, 342 nt
Filed under: uncultured bacterium
Lineage: Bacteria
Description: bacterial SSU rRNA
Rfam family: Bacterial small subunit ribosomal RNA
Source: RNAcentral